This 1444-nucleotide ribosomal RNA is filed under the name Salmonella enterica subsp. enterica serovar Rissen. RNAcentral describes it as "bacterial SSU rRNA". It matches the Rfam family "Bacterial small subunit ribosomal RNA". Lineage: Bacteria; Pseudomonadati; Pseudomonadota; Gammaproteobacteria; Enterobacterales; Enterobacteriaceae. The record is from RNAcentral.
GCAAUUAGGCGGCCUACAAUGCAAGUCGAACGGUAACAGGAAGCAGCUUGCUGCUUUGCUGACGAGUGGCGGACGGGUGAGUAAUGUCUGGGAAACUGCCUGAUGGAGGGGGAUAACUACUGGAAACGGUGGCUAAUACCGCAUAACGUCGCAAGACCAAAGAGGGGGACCUUCGGGCCUCUUGCCAUCAGAUGUGCCCAGAUGGGAUUAGCUUGUUGGUGAGGUAACGGCUCACCAAGGCGACGAUCCCUAGCUGGUCUGAGAGGAUGACCAGCCACACUGGAACUGAGACACGGUCCAGACUCCUACGGGAGGCAGCAGUGGGGAAUAUUGCACAAUGGGCGCAAGCCUGAUGCAGCCAUGCCGCGUGUAUGAAGAAGGCCUUCGGGUUGUAAAGUACUUUCAGCGGGGAGGAAGGUGUUGUGGUUAAUAACCACAGCAAUUGACGUUACCCGCAGAAGAAGCACCGGCUAACUCCGUGCCAGCAGCCGCGGUAAUACGGAGGGUGCAAGCGUUAAUCGGAAUUACUGGGCGUAAAGCGCACGCAGGCGGUCUGUCAAGUCGGAUGUGAAAUCCCCGGGCUCAACCUGGGAACUGCAUUCGAAACUGGCAGGCUUGAGUCUUGUAGAGGGGGGUAGAAUUCCAGGUGUAGCGGUGAAAUGCGUAGAGAUCUGGAGGAAUACCGGUGGCGAAGGCGGCCCCCUGGACAAAGACUGACGCUCAGGUGCGAAAGCGUGGGAGCAAACAGGAUUAGAUACCCUGGUAGUCCACGCCGUAAACGAUGUCUACUUGGAGGUUGUGCCCUUGAGGCGUGGCUUCCGGAGCUAACGCGUUAAGUAGACCGCCUGGGGAGUACGGCCGCAAGGUUAAAACUCAAAUGAAUUGACGGGGGCCCGCACAAGCGGUGGAGCAUGUGGUUUAAUUCGAUGCAACGCGAAGAACCUUACCUGGUCUUGACAUCCACAGAACUUUCCAGAGAUGGACUGGUGCCUUCGGGAACUGUGAGACAGGUGCUGCAUGGCUGUCGUCAGCUCGUGUUGUGAAAUGUUGGGUUAAGUCCCGCAACGAGCGCAACCCUUAUCCUUUGUUGCCAGCGGUUAGGCCGGGAACUCAAAGGAGACUGCCAGUGAUAAACUGGAGGAAGGUGGGGAUGACGUCAAGUCAUCAUGGCCCUUACGACCAGGGCUACACACGUGCUACAAUGGCGCAUACAAAGAGAAGCGACCUCGCGAGAGCAAGCGGACCUCAUAAAGUGCGUCGUAGUCCGGAUUGGAGUCUGCAACUCGACUCCAUGAAGUCGGAAUCGCUAGUAAUCGUGGAUCAGAAUGCCACGGUGAAUACGUUCCCGGGCCUUGUACACACCGCCCGUCACACCAUGGGAGUGGGUUGCAAAAGAAGUAGGUAGCUUAACCUUCGGGAGGGCGCUACCACUUUGAUACAUGGA